UACAGAGGUCUCAAGCGUUGUUCGGAUUCAUUGGGCGUAAAGGGUGCGUAGGCGGCGCGGUAAGUCGGGUGUGAAAUUUCGAGGCUUAACUUCGAAACUGCAUUCGAUACUGCCGUGCUAGAGGACUGGAGAGGAGACUGGAAUUUACGGUGUAGCGGUGAAAUGCGUAGAUAUCGUAAGGAAGACCAGUGGCGAAGGCGGGUCUCUGGACAGUUCCUGACGCUGAGGUGCGAAAGCGUGGGGAGCAAACAGG
This 253-nucleotide ribosomal RNA is filed under the name uncultured bacterium. Its description in RNAcentral is "partial 16S ribosomal RNA". It matches the Rfam family "Bacterial small subunit ribosomal RNA", at positions 524 to 776 of the family's 1533-position model. The record is from RNAcentral.